This 435-nucleotide ribosomal RNA is filed under the name uncultured bacterium. RNAcentral's name for it is "partial 16S ribosomal RNA". It matches the Rfam family "Bacterial small subunit ribosomal RNA", at positions 29 to 507 of the family's 1533-position model. The record is from RNAcentral.
AACGAACGCUGGCGGCAUGCCUAACACAUGCAAGUCGAACGAUUGCCUUCGGGUGAUAGUGGCGCACGGGUGCGUAACGCGUGGGAAUCUGCCCUUAGGUUCGGAAUAACAGCUGGAAACGGCUGCUAAUACCGGAUGAUAUCGCGAGAUCAAAGAUUUAUCGCCUGAGGAUGAGCCCGCGUUGGAUUAGGUAGUUGGUGGGGUAAAGGCCUACCAAGCCGACGAUCCAUAGCUGGUCUGAGAGGAUGAUCAGCCACACUGGGACUGAGACACGGCCCAGACUCCUACGGGAGGCAGCAGUGGGGAAUAUUGGACAAUGGGCGCAAGCCUGAUCCAGCAAUGCCGCGUGAGUGAUGAAGGCCCUAGGGUUGUAAAGCUCUUUUACCCGGGAAGAUAAUGACUGUACCGGGAAAAUAAGCCCCGGCUAACUCCGUG